GCCUUCGUGGUGUAAUGGUGAACACACUGAGCCUGUAUUUCAAAGGUCUGUGGUUCGAUCCCCGGUGAAGGCA
RNAcentral lists this transfer RNA (73 nucleotides) under Stegodyphus mimosarum. It matches the Rfam family "tRNA". From Rfam's summary of the family: Transfer RNA (tRNA) molecules are approximately 80 nucleotides in length. Their secondary structure includes four short double-helical elements and three loops (D, anti-codon, and T loops). The record is from Rfam by way of RNAcentral. Lineage: Eukaryota; Metazoa; Arthropoda; Arachnida; Araneae; Eresidae.